UCUAUGCUCGCUAUCCCAAGGUUCAUUGCGAUCCCAAGCUUCACUGCGGUUUUCCACAAGCCUGUUUCUGCCUAUCACCAUGAGUGAUUCCUUUAUACUCAGAUUUAUCAUCAAGAUCUCAAUUAUAAGCUUAAGUCUUGAUGACAAUUUGAUGAUCUGCAGGAGCACCACCAUGUAAGGAAGGCCAAGACCUCUCUGGAAUCAGUCAAGGCUCAUAGGAACUCCAAUCUUCCCAACUGUGAAAGGGCCUUGCUCCAGUGACUGAUUGCAGUGACCAGACAUGCUAUUGUAACUCUCAUGGUCAUGUGCUGGAAUUAGCAGAUAUUCAACAAUUUGGCCAUCUCGCCGACCUAUUGAUAUCAGAAGACCGCAGCAGCUCUGCAAAGCAAGUUGCAAAACAGAAUCCAUGAAACUGGUAGUGACUGGAAACCAAUUGGAAGACUUUGGUCUGUGAUGUAGAGGAAUGGGCAGAGGGUGAGGAAAUUCUUAUUAAUAUUACAUGUAGUCAUGAAAAAUUGUAACUGUUACUAGUAUUGUCAUUUUUUCAGUAGCAGAAGCAAAGACAACAAACAACAAAAGUGAUAUGGAUGUCUUCGUCAUA
Molecule: non-coding RNA, 601 nt
Organism: Danio rerio (zebrafish)
Lineage: Eukaryota; Metazoa; Chordata; Actinopteri; Cypriniformes; Danionidae
Source: Ensembl